Laetiporus sulphureus 93-53 is the source of this 94-nucleotide transfer RNA. It matches the Rfam family "tRNA". From Rfam's summary of the family: Transfer RNA (tRNA) molecules are approximately 80 nucleotides in length. Their secondary structure includes four short double-helical elements and three loops (D, anti-codon, and T loops). Further hydrogen bonds mediate the characteristic L-shaped molecular structure. tRNAs have two regions of fundamental functional importance: the anti-codon, which is responsible for specific mRNA codon recognition, and the 3' end, to which the tRNAs corresponding amino acid is attached (by aminoacyl-tRNA synthetases). tRNAs cope with the degeneracy of the genetic code in two manners: having more than one tRNA (with a specific anti-codon) for a particular amino acid; and 'wobble' base-pairing, i.e. permitting non-standard base-pairing at the 3rd anti-codon position. The record is from Rfam. Lineage: Eukaryota; Fungi; Basidiomycota; Agaricomycetes; Polyporales; Laetiporaceae.
GCCGGGAUAGCUCAGCUGGGAGAGCAACAGACUGAAGAUCGCAUGGAUUGAACGAGGGUUCUGGAGGUCGCGUGUUCGAGCCACGCUCCUGGCA